AUGGCGAGCGUGGUCAUCGAGAGCCACGACUCCGCGGUGGCCGGCGGCGGGGACGUGGUGUUCUGCGUCAUCAUCCUGUGCAUGUCCGUGCUGUCCUUGGUCAUCUUGGCGGCCUCCUCUGCCGUCGGCAGCGGCGACGGGGAAGAGCGCUCCGCCUCACGCGGGAACGGGCCGGUGUUCGUGGGCGGCAGGGGCUGCGCCUGCGGCGGCUGCCGCGCCGGCGCCGGCGUCUGCGGCACCUACCUCUCGUGA
Molecule: ribosomal RNA, 252 nt
Filed under: Triticum aestivum (bread wheat)
Lineage: Eukaryota; Viridiplantae; Streptophyta; Magnoliopsida; Poales; Poaceae
Description: partial small subunit ribosomal RNA
Source: RNAcentral